GAACGCACCUUGCGCCCUUUGGUAUUCCGAGGGGCACACCCGUUUGAGUGUCGUGACAUUCUCAAAACCUUCUUGGUUUCUUGACCGGGAAGGCUUUGGACUUUGGAGGCUUUUGCUGGCCUUUCUUUGUUGAAGCCAGCUCCUCUGAAAUGAAUUAGUGGGGUCUGCUUUGCUGAUCCUUGACGUGAUAAGAUAUUUUCUACGUCUUGGGUUUCGCACUGUUCCUGCUUCUAACCGUCUCAUAGAAGACAAUGGUCAAGUGAUUGCCACUUGACCCACAAACCUUGACCUCAAAUCGGGUGAGACUACCCGCUGAACUUAAG
RNAcentral lists this unclassified non-coding RNA (323 nucleotides) under Russula foetens. Its description in RNAcentral is "sequence contains 5.8S rRNA gene". Lineage: Eukaryota; Fungi; Basidiomycota; Agaricomycetes; Russulales; Russulaceae. The record is from RNAcentral.